Molecule: long non-coding RNA, 7372 nt
Filed under: Citrus sinensis (sweet orange)
Lineage: Eukaryota; Viridiplantae; Streptophyta; Magnoliopsida; Sapindales; Rutaceae
Description: long non-coding RNA (CSIN_LNC004909)
Source: RNAcentral
UUAUCAACAAUGACAACGUAUUAGGGGCACGACCACCCGAUUCUAAACAGCAGCAUCUGAAACUAGUACUUUGCUCUUAUCCUUGAGCAUGGCACACUUAGACUCACCAACAAGCUGAUUCGGCUUACAAAACCUAGGAUCGGCAACAUAACAUGUACCGGCAAAACGGCCAAGAUGCUUAAAAGAGGCACAAUAUGCAGGGACCCACUCAAAAACAACAUCCUACCAAAAACUAGUAUCCCCCUCACCAAUCUAAAUACGUGGUAGCAAAGGCUGCAAAACAUCAUACUCAACAAGCACCCUAGUAACUGAAGGCUUAUUAAUUGAGGUCGUGGCAUGAUCAACACGUAAUGGGGUACCAAUGGCAACAAUAAUAGAAAACAAAGCAGACUUAAAAGCGAUAAAAUGCACAGGCAAAUAAGGUAAUGAUACCCAAAUAGGCACAAUAAGGGAUUCCAAUGAAUGACGGAAAUCAGUACUCCACUUAAAAAUUAGUAUUCCCCAACCAUUAAUAUACCAAGUCUGCCUCACCCAAAUAUGCGAGUAGUGUUCCUCCAAGAAUAGUUUAAUCAACAUAUGUGUAUUAUCAAGCAGAGACACCUGAAAACUCUCUUUUCAACCCUAAGGAAACAAAAAAUUUCCUAAUAAUAUCCAUCAAAAUGCAAUCAAAAGAAAACUUACUGACGGAGGAGCUUAAACGGUUCAGCUAUAACUUUUACUUCCUCUGCUGAGAACAGCACAACAAGCUCACCCCAAUACAACAAAGCUAGCUUAACUGGAAUAGUAACUGAAGCAGGGCCCACUACAAAGUUGAAGUAUAAGAGGGCUUAGAAUUAGAGUUUGGAUUGCGGGUUGCGGGAUUAAGAGGGGCUGACCAUUGUGUAUGUGAGAUACCAGCCGCGACAUCACUGGUGAUAAGUGGCGUAAGAUGAUAUGGGUCAUGGGAUAAGGUUUUUUAUAGCUGGUUUAUGUAUGCAACUAUAAGUUGAGAGCUAGAUCAUGACAAGACCAAGGUUGCAUGGCGUUGAGGCUUGUUGAAGGCACUAAUUGUAGCUGUAAGGUGGAUGUGUGAUGGUUAGGCAAAGGCUGGUUGAAGUUGUGAAGGGUGGCUGGCAAAGGAAAACCAUUGCACGCGGUAGUCAAAAGCUGUUGAGUAGUAGUUGAAUUAGUUUCAUGCAUAUGAUGGCGUGACUGUAAAGUUGUAGGUUGCUGAUUAGGGAGAUUAACUGACGACACAAAAUGCGAGGGGGACAAGGCAUCAGUUGGGGCAGCACCGUUGAGAAGGGCUGGGUUAGUGACAGCCAUUGUAACAUGCCAAAAAAUGAAAACUAAGGUAUGAUAAGGUGGAUUUGGUUUGAGGUAAUAGUGGUUGUUGUGGCUAUAGCGAAGGCAAGGCUCCAUCGGCGUGGAGCAGGGGUGGAUAAAGGGUUCAGUUGGGGAUGUCGCCAAUAGCCUGAAACGUGGCCGUAGUGGGCGAAGAAAAGCGGACAAUUUGACGUGAUUUAAGGCUAUGACUUGCAUCAAACCAUGACUGUGGCCGAGUUUGUCCAUCCUAAGUGGGGUCACAGAUGAAAUAAGGAACGUCUGACGAUGACAGAGUUGGUACGUCUUGGAUAAGAUGGCAGGUUAAGGGGCUGUCAAGACUGUGUGAUGUCACCGACGGUGGGGUGGGGCUCCGAUAGUGGCGGGACACCACCACCGGUGGCUAUUGAUGACAUGCCGGUGGCCAAAAAUGCAAAAGGAGUGGUGACUAGUUGUAUAUUUUAGAAGUCAACUUUUUUGACCUCUCACACCCCACCAUUGAAAACUUUAAUAUAUAAAUGUCAUGAGAGCUAAAUAAAUUCAUCUUAAUUAUUAGUAAAACCCUAAAUAAUAAACAAAAUUGAAGAUUUUCGGAGCAUCUUUACAUUAUUUUUUCAUUAAGCAUAUCAACAGCAAGCAGAAUACAAUAUCUGUAAAUUACAUGAACUGUAUUAGUCUAUUCGCUAAAUUAAGGAUAAUAUUUUGAUUCAAAGGCUAAGGCCUACUAAUUUUUGGCAAAGACAGGAUUUCACAUUUGAACAAAAGGAGUUAUAAAUCCUUAAUUUGCCAACAGAGGAACCCAAUUAAGAUCUAGGGAUGUCAAACAAUAUGUUGUUGUUUACUAAUAACAUCUGUAGAUAGGCUCAUUCCAGCAUAAGAUCCAUAAGUCUAUCCACCAUAUUUUAUGCAAUGAUUUCAAGUAAAAUGAAGCCAUCUUCCUACUCUAUAUAUAUGAAAAACAUGCCGUUGUUUUUUGUAAUUUUUUAUGUAUUUUCUUACACUACUACAAAAUUGGUCUUUAAUGACGAUUUUAAAGGACAAGAUUAUGGUUUUAAAACCAUCAUCUUAGGCAACGACAUUAAAAAGUGCACACUUUUUAUGACAGUUCAAAAACCGUCAUUAAAUGUAUACUUAUAAUGACGGUUAUUUUAGUAAAUAGUCACUAUAUGCCAAGGUACAUAAGUUUUAAUGUCCCUUUUUUUUGUCAAUGGCCAUCAUUAAAUAAACAUUCUUAAUGACGAUGAUUUUACUAAACAGUCAUUAUUUGCGAUAUACACUAGGGUUUUAAUGACAGUUUUUACUAAACCAUCAUUAAAAAGUACUGUUUAAUGACGGAUCUUUAAACAUCAAUCAUCAAUAGCACUUUUCCAUUUAUUUUUAACGAUGGUUUUGAAAAAAAAAAGUCAUUAAAUGUCAUUUUUUAAUGACGAUUAUAAAAAAAAGUUCAUUAGUAUAUAUUUUUAUUGACAUUUUUUUAACAAUCAUCAUUAAUGUACUUUUUAAUGAUGGCUUUCUAAUGAAACCGUCAUCUUAUAUUGUUCUUUGAUGACUGUUCUUAUAUAAGAACCAUCAUCUUUUGCAUGAGUAAAAGGAAAAAAAUAGCAAUUCAAAAUUACCAUACUUCAAUUUUUUUAAAAAUUAAAACUUGCAUAGUUUUUUUUUUUUUUUUGCAUUCUAAACUAUACAAACAUAUUUAAUAUUUCCUUCUUCAUCUGAAAAAAAAAAUACUACAACAUCAAAUUUCUCAUAAAGUCUUCAAUAACUACUUUUUAUAGUCCAUGUAAGUAGCAACACUAACUCCCUAAGUUUAAACAUAGAACACACAAGUUUUAAUGAGUAAAAAAUAAUAAUCAUUUACUUACAAAGUACUCAAAUACAAACAAGCAUAAUUAUAACAGUUUAGCACUUGCAUAACCUUGAUCAAACUAACUCCUAACAAUGAAAAAAUGUACUACAUGAAUUCUCAAAUUAAAAUUCAGUAUCAUGUAACUGUACACACAAAUAUAAACCAAAAAGCAAAUGGAGACUAUGUUUUCAGCUUACAUACAGUAGUAUUGGCACUUAGAACAUUUAUACCCAGCCAGCAAGCUUGCCCUUCAGAAACUAAAUCCUUAAUGCUCAUAAUUAUACACAUUGCAUGUUUUGCAAAGCAGUUCUUGCCUUGCAACUAGUCUUACCAAUGUAGUUUCUAUUAAAUCAAUACUUAUUGGAGCCUGAGUAUCACCAUUUUCAUUGGUUAGCUACAAAGAACAGGAACAAAAAAUUCAAAUCAAAAGGUAAAGCUAAACAAAUUAGCUUUUAAAGUAAAUGAAAAAAAGUGGAGCCUAAAAAAAUCUCAAGGAUCAUCAUUUACACUGAUUAGUUCAAUCUCGAUUUUAUGUUUACAGGCUCUUUAUUUAAGACAUGAAACUAGAAAACUUCUUCAUUUGUUGUGAACAAGAAUAAAUCUAAAAAUUCUGUCAAUCUUAUAUGGAUAAGCAAGAGGGGGAAAAAAACUCAAUUACCACAUUUUCAUAGGAACUUCAUUGCUAUAUUUAAGUUACUUGUUUUAGAGAGAGGAUGAACAAACAAAAAAUUCCUACAAUCCCACAUGCAACAUUUCUCGUAAAUAUGAUAACUUGGCUUACUAUAAUAUUGGAUACUCAACAAAGACUAGUUGAAAAAAUUACAUUAGCGACAGAGAUCAUGCUCACUGUACAACAACCAUAAUUUCAGCCAUCAAGAAGAAUACACAACUUGAUCAAGUAGCCACUGAUAACAUUUUCCUUUCACUUCCUAACAAUUAUCUUCAAACUAGCAUAUGAAUUCAGGCCAUGCUAAUUCUCUUAUUUUCUAAUGGAAGAGUAUAAUGAUCACAUUAAUCUAAUUCUACUACCAUGGAAAAUAAAGAGAAAAUAAAUAAUCAUAAAAAUUGGAUAAGCAGACAGUCAUAAUCUAGAUGCAAAACUAGUCGACAGUGGAAAUAAAUCAUCAUAUAAGGAAAUCUCAAGCAUAGAACCAACCUAGCAGAUCGGAUUUCCUUUAAAGCACACUUGUAGUGCACAAAAGAGCAAAUUUCAUCUCACAAACAAAUAAGUAAAUAAUUUGUACCUAUUGUUAUUGCAGCAAUCUAACCAAGCUAUAUUGAGAUACUAAUUAAUAAAUGGAGAAGCAAAUUUAAAAUAAAUCACGUGGGCCAAGAGAUAUUUAAUUCAACCAAUGAAUUAAUGCCACAUCCGUUUGUACAAAAUAAGUUUGUACAAAAAUUUGUGGUUAUAUCAUUACUCAUAUUUUUAUGUGGGGUAAAUAUCUAUGGGUGAGUUUUGGGAUAGACAUGAAAAAUAAAUUAUAAAACAGGGAUAUUUUUUACAUUAGCAAGUAAUUGACUUAAUUCAGAUUCUCCAUUAAGUAAAAAGCCAAAAAAAUUAGCUUAUUUUAUUAAGUCAAAAUUAUCUAAAAAGUCUCAUUAAGUUAUAAAAACAAACACCUCUAAUUAACUUAAUUAAUUAAGUUAAGUCACUUUAAGUCAUUAAGUUAAAAAACAAACGCCACCUUAGUCUGAAAUAAUUAACUUAAUUGCACUUGACACGUAUUUUUUCCUCAAAACCUUGAAGUAUUAUAAUAUUCCACCUAAGAUCAUUGUAAACCUCAGCACAAUGAAGAAGAACUAAAAAUGGAUAGUAAAUGGAUACUAAUAAGUAGGAAAUAAAUCAUUUGUGGGAUAAGAUGAAAACCUCUCGUAGUGUAUCGAAGAAAGAUUGAUAAUUUAUUAUUUAAUUAACUGACAUAGGUAACAUUUCAGGAGUCUAUUUUGAUUUAAUGUGCAUGGAUGCCUAUCAUUCUAUCUAAAGAACUGGAAUAACAUCAUAGAUAUAAGGAUAUAGGAACAAAAUCUUAGAUUGUUAAAUUUCUUAUUAGAAAAAAAAAAGACAACAAGAACAUCUCAGCUUGUUUCCAAGGAGGCCCUCAGAAAUUUGCUCAAGAAUAAAUUUAAAAGAAAUGAAUAAUUAAUAAGUAUUAUGAGGACAUAUUUAGAAUUUCAAGCUACUACAUAAGUUAAAUUACCUUAUCACAAAGAAUGCAAACUUUUUCAAGGUUUACCUCUUGGGAAGUUUGGAAGACUUCCAAGAGAUAUAAUUUGAUUUCCACAACAACAUAUAGUUGCUGCAAAACUGAUAAAUUUUAUUUCAUUAUAACUUCAACAUUCUUUUAUCAAAUGCGAGAUAAACAAAACAAGACAAAUUUGUAAGGACUAGCAAUUCUCUAGAGAUUCAAAUCUUGGCCCUUUAAAUGUUUACACAUGAAUAUAUUGAAGAACUAUAAUUUCAAAGGAAAAGAAAAAGAACAAAGAAUUAAAAAUUUAACAAAUAGAAUUUGACGAUCCAACAUUCAGAAAUUGAGUUUGUGCAAAUAAAUUUGAUCCAAAAGAUUCAACCAUAUCUUUGCAACAUGUUAUAACUGAUUUUUUAAAUAUAUUUUUUCAUAGCAAAUACUUGUGGUUUUAGCAAAAUUAAGUACAAAAAUAUAUUUAAAUCAAAUGUUGGGUGGAUUGAAAUAGAAAUUCAAAAGAUUAAAAAAAUAUAUAGCUUAUUCAAGACAAGAACACAAUGUAAAUGGUGCUAAAAUUUGUUACCUCUAAGAUUACAACUAAUAAAUAGAUUGUAAAGGAGAAGAAGUUGCUACCUAUUCAUUGGUUUCAAUUAUAGCUAUAUGAAGAUGUAAGCCUUUCCAUUUAGCACUCCAUACAGACCACGAGGGAUAUGAAAAUAUAUCAUCAUCAUCAAAUAAAAAAAAAACUAAUAAUUUUACCAAAUGUAAACAAGAAAAUAUAUUAUAAAAAAUAAAUAUUCAACUAAUUAAUCUUCAAUUAUACCUGUUUAUUAAAAAAAUAAAAGGGAAUUACUUUGGACAUAAGAAUAAACAGCAAAACAAAUAAAAAAAUUACAGGCAAAAAACAGCACCAAGAAGUUCUAGGCAAUAAAGCAUGACGACAUCCAAAAAUCCAGGUGUUGUUUUUUAACAAUAAACAAUAGCAUGAAAGCACCUAGAAAAUUUUUGGGUGCUAUCCAGCUACUGUACUUAGGUUAAAAACAACAUCGCUGCUAAUUUUAACAGCAAACAAAGCAUAGCACAACCAGAAAUUUUUUGGGUGCUGACCAACUAUUGUAUUUUUGUUAAAGACAGCACAAUUUGCUAUUUUUAAUAGCAAACAACAGCAUGACAACACCCAGAAAAUUUUUUGAGUGUUGUACAGUUACUGCAUUUAGGUUAAAAAUAGCAGGCGAUGCUAUUUUUAAUAGCAAACAGAGCAUAGCACACCUAGAAAAUUUUUGGGUGCUGACCAGCUGUUAUAUUUGGGUUAAAACCUAGUGCUGUUUUUAACAACAAACAACAGCAUGACAGCAUCCAAAAACUUUUUUGGGUGCUGACAGGCUACUGUAUUUGGGUUAAAAACAACACCUGGAAAACAACAGCAUGACUUUUGAAAUGAAAUGAAAAUAGUUUUUCAAGUAUGUAGGCGAGUCUCCAAAUUCAAGCAGCAAUCAAAUCCUCUGCAAUAUAACAUGAUUAAUCCUCCCACAAGUCAUUGGCUAAUGUGUAUACAAUUACAUAUAUAAAGAUUUAAGGGGAAAGCUUGCGAACUCAAACAACAGAUGUAUAAAAAUUAGAGCAGCAAUGUCCAAAUCAAAGAUUGUGAAUAAUUUGCCAACAUACAUGUGAUUAGCCACACUCGAGAACAAAACUCAUGUCAUUUUAUAGUUCUAGGGUUCAGUCAUUUCAAAAAAUUAGUUCAUUUAAGAGGAGAAACUUUAGAAUAAAAUCAUUUUCUCAAUACAGUACAACAACCAGUAUCAGGGUUUUUAACUACACAUUUAGGAGUCAAAUUUUUCAAGAAUUUUUACUAAAAUUGAUGUGCAAGAGAAGAUAAUAACAAAAAUUACCUGUUUUAAUCGUUCAAUCGGGCUUAAUCAACUGUGGGUUCUUAGUUAGGGUUUUGCAAUUCAAUGGCGGCAACACAUGCGCUCGGUGGGUACUUCGUAUGGUUCUUAAUGAGGGCCAAAUCGAUGGCAAAAGACGAGACAAUGUCUGC